ACAGAUGCUACUAUGCUCAUCACUAUCACUACUAUUUCUACUACCAUCAUGGGUACCGCUGCACUCGCUACUGGCUUACCUACCGCUGCAGGCGAUGCCAGCACUACUGAGCUGCAGCAGCGCCCAGUGAUCACAGUGCUGGAGUUUACCUGACAGCAGACCUGCAAGCAAAGCUUAAACACACCAGCAACCUUCUUUUAUAGCAUCGCUGUAACCUUUCUGUUCUGGUACCUCUCCCCACACACAGCUACAGACCCAUACUUAUUUCUAUCAGGCCAUUCACAGCUUGUUUAAAACAGCUGCUCCCUGUUGUGCAUUUGGUCAAUCUCUUCAAGGAUAUAUAAUAGAGACAACAUUGUUUUUCUAUUGGGUGAUUCCCUGCCUCUCAUGAAGCAGGUCUUUACAUUGUAUGGAAAGGUGUCCUUAUUUAACGUGUAGUCUCAGAUUCUCAGUGAGAUCACAUGCUCACACAUGUUUGAAUAGAAAUACAACUCCACAUGGGCACAUAUACAAAGAGUUACUUGGAGAGCGUGCUUGAUUGAUUUGCCUCAGCUCAUAAUCACUGCACCGAGUCAGGUUUGACCAGUAGACUCCUUUCUUCUCCCAGCUCCUCACAGCCACACUGUGAUGUCACAAGUGACCCGUGACAGGCCUUGUUCACAGACUGACAAAAACAUUGUGUUUAUAUAGAGAUUUUCUUCAUCUCUCAAUUAUUUUAAAAUCUCUUUAUUUGCAUUCAUGACAACAAAUGCUCCAACUGUUGACCAGUAUAAAUGCUGUCCUGCCAAAACAACACGAUCUGCUGUUACAUGAAACUGGG
Molecule: long non-coding RNA, 820 nt
Organism: Acipenser ruthenus (sterlet)
Lineage: Eukaryota; Metazoa; Chordata; Actinopteri; Acipenseriformes; Acipenseridae
Exons: 3
Source: RefSeq, a predicted model, not a curated record